This is a long non-coding RNA of Canis lupus familiaris (dog), 965 nucleotides long. RefSeq lists it as uncharacterized. The record is from RefSeq and is a predicted model, not a curated record. Lineage: Eukaryota; Metazoa; Chordata; Mammalia; Carnivora; Canidae. The transcript has 4 exons.
AGUGUGCUCAUAAAAGAGGCCCCAGAGAGAUCCUUCGCCGCUUCCGCCCAGUGAGGACACAUCAGGAAGAGAGCUAUGAAUCAAGAAGAGAGCUCUCACAGGACACCAAAUCUGCCGGAGCCUUGAUCUUGGACUUCCCAGCUUCCAGAACUCAGGAAAUGACUGACCUGCCUGGCCAUGUCGAGUGACAUAUAAUCCAUGCCUGUAGCAGGGAACCCCUAAGGGGUGAACAUGAGGUUUUAGCCUCUUCCUACACCUGACAGAGAGGAGAAUGAACGGUGGACAUCAUCCCACAGAGCCGUGGCGUGCCAAGGCGGUGAGCUACAUGCUCUGUGCCUGGAAAGCUGACCACUGUGGAUUGCAGCUCUCGGGCUCUCUCUAACUUCCAGGAAUGGAAACAGAAGCCCCAGGAUGCUAAAUAACUUCCCCAAGAUGAUGGAGCAAGAGGAGGGGUGGAGCCGGGACUGCCGACGUGCCUGCCAAGCCCAAGGCCAGGCUUCUGCUAUUCACGGCUGCUCGCUUCGUUCUGGGGCAAGGGCAGUCUGAGACCUGGGAGGCCAGGCAGGCACCUGGGAGGAAGCGGGGCUGGGGUGCUGGGGAGGCAGUGGUUGGGUGGCUUCCGCCUGCCCGGGGAGCAGAGCACGGCUGCCACUGGCCCUGCCCUAUGGGCACAGUGUGUCCCUUCAUCUGUAAAUGGGAUGAUGAUGGUACCUGCCUGCCUGCCAUGGCGGACAGGCGUGAGCACCGAGUGAGACUCAGGCCCCAGUCAGAGGAAACUGUCUCCCUGCCCAGCCUUUGUAUGUCUGAGGCUGGUGACAAAGGGCACUUGGAAAACAGCCUCUGGCAGAGGGGAUGUGACAGCCUUGCGGACAGGUCCCUGCCCCAGGAAGGGCAUUGAAUGCCCGGUUGAGCCCUGGCAGCUGCACUAACUAUAAAGUAGUUGGGGGGGACUGGGACAGAGGCUU